ACGAACGCUGGCGGCAUGCCUCACCCAUGCAAGUCGAACGAGACCUUCGGGUCUAGUGGCGCACGGGUGCGUCACGCGUGGGAACCUGCCCUUAGGUUCGGAAUAACUCCCCGAAAGGGGUGCUAAUACCGGAUAAUGUCUUCGGACCAAAGAUUUAUCGCCUUUGGAUGGGCCCGCGUUGGAUUAGCUAGUUGGUAGGGUAAAAGCCUACCAAGGCGACGAUCCAUAGCUGGUCUGAGAGGAUGAUCAGCCACACUGGGACUGAGACACGGCCCAGACUCCUACGGGAGGCAGCAGUGGGGAAUAUUGGACAAUGGGCGAAAGCCUGAUCCAGCAAUGCCGCGUGAGUGAUGAAGGCCUUAGGGUUGUAAAGCUCUUUUACCCGGGAUGAUAAUGACAGUACCGGGAGAAUAAGCUCCGGCUAACUCCGUG
This 432-nucleotide ribosomal RNA is filed under the name uncultured bacterium. RNAcentral's name for it is "partial 16S ribosomal RNA". It matches the Rfam family "Bacterial small subunit ribosomal RNA", at positions 29 to 507 of the family's 1533-position model. The record is from RNAcentral.